Molecule: ribosomal RNA, 654 nt
Filed under: uncultured crenarchaeote
Lineage: Archaea; Thermoproteati; Thermoproteota
Description: bacterial SSU rRNA
Rfam family: Archaeal small subunit ribosomal RNA
Source: RNAcentral
AGGAUGGGACUGCGUCCGAUCAGGCUGUUGGCGGGGUAAUGGCCCACCAAACCUGUAACCGGUACGGGCCUUGAGAGAGGUGGCCCGGAGAUGGACACUGAGAGAAGGGUCCAGGUCCUACGGGGCGCAGCAGGCGCGAAACCUUCGCAAUGCGCGAAAGCGUGACGAGGUUAAUCCGAGUGACUCCCGCUGAGGGGGUCUUUUGUCAGCUGUAAAUAGGCAGGCGAAUAAGGGGAGGGCAAGCCUGGUGUCAGCCGCCGCGGUAAUACCAGCUCCUCGAGUGGUCGGGGCGAUUAUUGGGCCUAAAGCAUCCGUAGCCGGUUCCGUAGGUCCUCUGUUAAAUCCAACCGCUCAACGGUUGACCUGCAGAGGAUACCGCGGGACUAGGAGGCGGGAGAGGCGGACGGUACUCCGCGUGUAGGGGUAAAAUCCUUUGAUCCGCGGAAGACCACCAGUGGCGAAGGCGGUCCGCCAGAACGCGCUCGACGGUGAGGGAUGAAAGCUGGGGGAGCGAACCGGAUUAGAUACCCGGGUAGUCCCAGCCGUAAACGAUGCUAGCUAGAUGAUUCAUUCGCAAGUCGCGAAUGAAGUGUCGCAGGGAAGCCGUUAAGCUAGCCGCCUGGGGAGUACGGUCGCAAGACUGAAACUUAAAGG